GGCUGGACCCGCCGAAGUGCGCGCACAACUGGACCGAGAGAGCAACGCGGGGAAAGGCGGGGCGCGUCAGGACUUGCUAGGGCAGCGGACUGCGAGCGGGAGGGGCGGGGCGCUGAGACGGGGGCGGGGCCUCGCGCUCAGACUUAAAGGGCCAGGGCCACCUUGCGUGUGCCGCGGGAGCGCGAAAGGUGGAGAUGAGGGGGACGACCCACGCGAGGCCAUUCUUGGGAUCAUGAAGGCCGCGAGUUAAUUAUUUACUCAUAAUAAAUAAGUUAUAAAUAUAUUGAGACAGUCUGAAGGACGAUUCCCAAAACUGAGCUAAAUUUGAUGGAGGGAGCCAGCCACCUGUGGAGUGGAACCCAAAUCAAGUUGUUCCUUAGGCUCUGACUCUACCCUUAGGUGACCCAUUCCGUGUGGUCUUGCAGUGACAAACUUGGAGCAGAGUGACAGAGCCAGCUGCCUUUGUUAAAGCAUUGUGCUUCAGUUGUCCCUUCUUGUAAAAUGGUGAUAAUGUUGCUUGCUCUAGUUAUCUUUAUAGGGUAAAGAUAAAAUUAAAUCCUGUAUUAUUCUCUACUUAAAGAAGCGCUUUUAGGAAGUUCCCCUGUGGCUCAGCGGGUUAAGGAUCCCGAGCAGGCUGCAACUGCCGGUCAGGUUCGACCCCUGGCCCAGGAACUUCUACAUGCUGCGAUUGUGGCCAAGCGCUUUUAAAAGGGCUGUCACUCUGGGCAGUUCUAGCUUCUUCCUUCUCCCAAUCUCCUUCUCCCCGAAGCAUCCACCAGAGGACGCAGCUUCCCCCAAACUUUCCACUCUGCUUGGCUAGAGAGACUCAGUCCACGUUUUCCUGCUACUCCGGGCCCGCAGUUAAAUCACUGCAGCCCCAGACUAAGCUGUCCGUUACCAUGGGAACGGAAAGCCAUGACGUCACCAUUGUCUGGGAAAGUGGACGGCUGCCCCCCGCGCGUGUCCGAACUACCACGCCGGCGACCACGCGUGAGCACGCAGAAGGCCCAAACCUCCCACCAUACCCCUCAGAACUUUCCCCGAACUCCUCCUUGCCUCUAUCCCCAAGGAAGUCAAGUCAGUCAAAUAACGAGGCUCAGCCUGUCCCAAACCCGCCG
RNAcentral lists this long non-coding RNA (1118 nucleotides) under Sus scrofa (pig). Its description in RNAcentral is "lncRNA (ENSSSCG00005008958.1)". Lineage: Eukaryota; Metazoa; Chordata; Mammalia; Artiodactyla; Suidae. The record is from RNAcentral.